UAAGACGAAGGAUGCAAGCGUUAUCCGGAUUCAUUGGGUUUAAAGGGAGCGUAGGCGGAUUGGUAAGUCAGUGGUGAAAUCUGUGGGCUUAACCCACAAACUGCCAUUGAUACUGCUGAUCUAGAGUACAGUUGCCGUUGGCGGAAUAUGACAUGUAGUGGUGAAAUACUUAGAUAUGUCAUAGAACACCGAUUGCGAAGGCAGCUAACGAAGCUGUAACUGACGCUGAGGCUCGAAAGUGCGGGGAUCAAACAGGAUUAGAUACCCUGGUAGUCCGCACUGUAAACGAUGAUCACUCGCUGUUUGAGGGUAACCUUGAGUGGCCAAGCGAAAGCGAUAAGUGAUCCACCUGGGGAGUACGCCGGCAACGGUG
This 373-nucleotide ribosomal RNA is filed under the name uncultured bacterium. Its description in RNAcentral is "bacterial SSU rRNA". It matches the Rfam family "Bacterial small subunit ribosomal RNA", at positions 521 to 896 of the family's 1533-position model. The record is from RNAcentral.